RNAcentral lists this ribosomal RNA (450 nucleotides) under uncultured bacterium. RNAcentral describes it as "bacterial SSU rRNA". It matches the Rfam family "Bacterial small subunit ribosomal RNA", at positions 29 to 524 of the family's 1533-position model. The record is from RNAcentral.
AGCGAACGCUGGCGGCAGGCUUAACACAUGCAAGUCGAACGGGCGUAGCAAUACGUCAGUGGCAGACGGGUGAGUAACGCGUGGGAACGUACCUUUUGGUUCGGAACAACCCAGGGAAACUUGGGCUAAUACCGGGAUAAGCCCUUACGGGGAAAGAUUUAUCGCCGAAAGAUCGGCCCGCGUCUGAUUAGCUAGUUGGUGAGGUAACGGCUCACCAAGGCGACGAUCAGUAGCUGGUCUGAGAGGAUGAUCAGCCACAUUGGGACUGAGACACGGCCCAAACUCCUACGGGAGGCAGCAGUGGGGAAUAUUGGACAAUGGGCGCAAGCCUGAUCCAGCCAUGCCGCGUGAGUGAUGAAGGCCCUAGGGUUGUAAAGCUCUUUUGUGCGGGAAGAUAAUGACGGUACGCAAGAAUAAGCCCGGCUAACUCGUGCCAGCCGCCGCCGUAAU